GCCGGGUGUGGUGGUGGGCACCUGUAAUCCCAGCUACUCAGGAGGCUGAGGCAGGAGAAUCGCUUGAACCCAGGAGGUGGAAGCUGCAGUGAGCCGAGAUCACACCACUGCACUCCAGCCUGGGUGACAGAGCAAGACUCUGUCUCAA
Papio anubis (olive baboon) is the source of this 148-nucleotide unclassified non-coding RNA. It matches the Rfam family "Metazoan signal recognition particle RNA". Rfam says of the family: The signal recognition particle (SRP) is a universally conserved ribonucleoprotein. It is involved in the co-translational targeting of proteins to membranes. The eukaryotic SRP consists of a 300-nucleotide 7S RNA and six proteins: SRPs 72, 68, 54, 19, 14, and 9. The record is from Ensembl. Lineage: Eukaryota; Metazoa; Chordata; Mammalia; Primates; Cercopithecidae.